RNAcentral lists this ribosomal RNA (258 nucleotides) under uncultured archaeon. RNAcentral describes it as "partial 16S ribosomal RNA". It matches the Rfam family "Archaeal small subunit ribosomal RNA", at positions 748 to 1005 of the family's 1478-position model. The record is from RNAcentral.
CAGCCCUAAACGAUGCGCGUUAGGUGUAUCGGUGACCACGAGUCACCGAGGUGCCGAAGGGAAACCGUGAAACGUGCCGCCUGGGAAGUACGGUCGCAAGGCUGAAACUUAAAGGAAUUGGCGGGGGAGCACCACAAGAGGUGGAGGCUGCGGUUCAAUUGGACUCAACGCCGGGAAGCUCACCGGAUAAGACAGCGGAAUGAUUGCCGGGCUGAAGACUCUGCAUGACUAGCUGAGAGGUGGUGCGAUGGCGUAGAC